Molecule: long non-coding RNA, 3439 nt
Organism: Pseudophryne corroboree (corroboree frog)
Lineage: Eukaryota; Metazoa; Chordata; Amphibia; Anura; Myobatrachidae
Exons: 3
Source: RefSeq, a predicted model, not a curated record
UCUCAUUGUUUUACAUUACGUUGCCUGUCUCUGUCUCACACCCCGCAGGAAACCAGCGCUGGUAGGGGACUGAGAGAAUAACGAUUUAUUUGGGUGAGGACAGAACAGCAUUUGAGCCUACACUUCCAGAGACCCUGUGGAAAGAAGAACUGGUGUUUAUUUGUCCAUAGAAACAUGGAUUUAAGACAGAUGUUCAAGGAAGCAUGUUGGCCUCUGAAGAUCAUAUGGGAGCGCAUUAACCAUGCAUACAGUUCAGACACUCCCCCUAUGGACUGGGGACUUCAAAAAGGGAACUACGGCUUCCAAAUGUGGGUUUUCCCAUCCAACAAUGAAAAAUACUUCGUAGGUUGGGAUUCUGGCUGCUCCUAUUGGAAGGUGAACACUCCGUUUGGACAAGGAUUAUAUUUUAUAGGACCUCUGUUCAUCAACAAAGAAAGGACGGGUCUAGCUGUACCCCCAUUAUUCAAUGUCAACGUGUCAGAUACAGAUAUAUUGAUACCGGCCUCGCCUGCAAGUGUUAUAGAGCGAAUGCAAAACAUUAAAAGUUUUGUAACGAAGCCUUACAGCAACAAGACAUUAUAAGAUUUAUUUGGCUGGGGACAGUACAGCAUUUGAGCCUACACUUCCAGAGACCCUGUGGAAGGAAGAUCCAGUGUUUAGUUCUCCAUAGGAACAUGGAUAUAAUAACGAUGCCGGAGUACCAGGAAGCAUGUUGGCCUCUGAAGAUAAUAUGGGAGCGCAUUAACCAUGCCUACAGUUCAGAUACUCCUCCUAGGGACUGGCGACUUCAAAAGGGGCACUACGUCCUCCAAAUGUGGGUCUUCCCAUCUAACAAUGAAAAAUACUCUGUGGUUCGGGAUUCAUUCUUCUCUUAUUGGCAGGUGAACACUCAGUUUGGACAGUGCUUAUUUUUUAUAAGACCUCUGUUCAUCAACAAAGAAAGGAAGGGUCUAGUGCAGGGGUGUCCAACCAGUCAGAAACAAACAGCCAAAAAAUCCUGUUAGGUACGUCAAAGAGCCGAAAUCGAGCUGAAGGCGCACGUGCAAAAAGAGAGUGUGGCCAUGUGCCUACUAGGCCACGCCCAUGCUAUAAAAUACAUUGAAAGAGAGCCAUAGCCACAUGAAAUACAUUUCAAAGCCAGAUCCAACAUAAAAUACAUUGAAAAAGCCACUUCCACAUAAAAUAAUUCAAAAAGCCAGAUCCACAUAAAGUAUAUUGAAAAAGCCAUAUUCACAUAAAACACUUUAGCUCCUCCAUGUGUCACUCCAGCCAGCUCCCCCAUGUGUCAAUGUGUCACUCCUGCCAGCACCCUCCUGUGUCACUCUAUUCAGCUCCCCAUUGUGUCUCUCCUGCCAGGACCCUCCUGUGUAACUCCAGCCAGCUCACCCUUUUGAGUGUACCUCAAAUAUACCUGGUUUCUCCUUCCUUUUCCCUUUCUAUGGGAAUUUGAUUCCAGCUCUCCCUGGUGUCACUCCAGCAUACCCUCAUAUGUAACUACAGCUGCCCCCCAACUCAUGCCAUUGCAGCAGCAGUCCCUUAUAUGUCCUUUGUUUGCCAGUGACUCCCUCAGUUCCUAGUACCCGUAGUGCUGCUGCGUGUCUGGCUGUAGUGCAGCAGUCAUCUGUUGUGGUCAUGUGCCUUUGAGUGUCAGGAGCCACAUCUGAAUAAAGAAAGAGCCGCAUUAAGCUCAAGAGCCACGGGUUGGCCACUGCUGGUCUAGCGGUACCCCCGUUAUUCAAUGUCAAUGUGUCAGAUACAGAUACACUGAUUCCGGAAAAGCCUGAAAUGGUGUGUUAACGCAAAUUCAGAACAUUGUGCAAUUAUUGGGUCAGCUAAGUAGCAGCAAUGCAUUAUGAGAUGUAAACUGCAUGUUUUCCCAUAGAGCAGUGGUUCCUAAACUUUUGUGAAUCACGGCGCCCUAGAGUAUAAGAAUUUUUUUAACGGCACCCCUAGGCCAAAAUGUUCUUAUGGACAAAUUUAGAAUUUUUUUUUAUAAUUAAAUAAAUUGUGUUUAUAUGUCAUCAGUAGGUUCAAUUGUGUGGUGAGGGACAAGAUUUGCUUCUGUUUGUCCACAUAUUUUAUGAUUGGCAGCCACCAGCACUGGUUUUGCCUAUUACAUUGACAAUAAAUAGUUUGAAUUGGUCCUGGACCACCAACCUCAGGCACCGCUGCAAGUGUGCUGCGGCACCCCAGGGAGCCACGGCACACAGUUUGAAAACCACUGCCAUAGAGUGGUGACAGCCCAUGUUUUUUACUCCACAAUUUCCCUUACACCUUUCACAAUAAUGAAAUUUAAAUUUUGGGGUAAAAUUCUGCACAGUGCAGAAUGGGUUAAAAGAUGUGAGACAGGUACAUGGCGGUGCUGUAUGGGUGGGACAGGUGUUUUCAACUUUGCAGGUGGGAUAUACAGGUGUUUUUUUAAGUGGUUUCAAAUUACCCCCAAAGCAACUCUUAUACAUUUGAAUGCACCCCAAAUUUAACCAAGGUAUCUAUUUAAACAAAAAAAGCUUUUCCACUUUUUUUUAAAUACAAUAAUCAACCAUUUUAAACAUUUAGAAGCUCGAAAUAUUUUUGUUUAGGACAGUAAUAUACAUCUACUGUAUACUGUCACCCAAUACUUGUUUGAGUUUUUUAGGGUACAAGCUGAUUUAAAAAAUAAUUCCUGCUGGUUUUUGCACCCAGUUGCUUUCAAACCGAUAGUGCGAGAACAGGGAGCUCACAUUCCGUAGCUGUGGUAAUUGAAAAAUGGACGCAAUAGGCACUUUAAUUUUUGCAUGAAAUACCCUAUAGUACUGUAUAUGGGGGGUCAUUCCGAGUUGAUCGCUAGCUGAAAAUGUUUGCUGCGUUGCGAUUAAUAAAAAAAAUGGUACUUCUGUGCAUGCGGCGCAGUGCGCACGCGCAACGAACUUUCACAACGACCGAUGCAUUUUUACACAAGGUCUAACUAAGCUUUUCAGUCGCACUGCUGCCCGCAGAGUGAUUGACAUGAAGUGGGCGUUUCUGGGUGUCAACUGACCGUUUUCAGGGAGUGUUCGAAAAAACGCAGACGUGCCAGGAAAAACGCAGGCGUGGCUGACCGAACGCAGGGCGUGAUUGUCACAUCAAAUCCGGAACUGAAUGGGCUGAAGUGAUCGCAAGCGCUGAGUAGAUCUGAAGCUACUCAGAAACUGCACAUUUUUUUUUUGUAGCCGCUCUGCGAUGCAAUCGUUCGCACUUCUGCUAAGCUAAGAUACACUCCCAGUGGGCGGCGGCUUAGCGUUUGCACGGCUGCUAAAAACUGCUAGCGAGCGAUCAACUCGGAAUGACCCCCCAUGGACAUUUUACUUGUUUGCCCUUAGUUGUUCUCUUUAAUUGAUACGAAGACAUUGUGACUCUCAGAAGGACCAUUGUUACUAAGCUACUAUAUGGGGUCUAUUUAAUAAGCCUUGGAUCGAGAUAA